GAAAAAUUAGUUAAAAAAUAACAUUAAUAUGUCACAUUAAAAUCAUUAAACCAUUUAAUUAAUAUUUUUCU
RNAcentral lists this transfer RNA (71 nucleotides) under Azana sp. WQY005. Its description in RNAcentral is "tRNA-Asp". The record is from RNAcentral. Lineage: Eukaryota; Metazoa; Arthropoda; Insecta; Diptera; Mycetophilidae.